This 45-nucleotide transfer RNA is filed under the name Radula australiana. RNAcentral describes it as "partial tRNA-Phe". It matches the Rfam family "tRNA", at positions 1 to 44 of the family's 71-position model. From Rfam's summary of the family: Transfer RNA (tRNA) molecules are approximately 80 nucleotides in length. Their secondary structure includes four short double-helical elements and three loops (D, anti-codon, and T loops). Lineage: Eukaryota; Viridiplantae; Streptophyta; Jungermanniopsida; Radulales; Radulaceae. The record is from RNAcentral.
GCCGGAAUAGCUCAGUKGGUAGAGCAGGGGACUGAAAAUCCUCGU